Molecule: ribosomal RNA, 305 nt
Filed under: uncultured bacterium
Lineage: Bacteria
Description: bacterial SSU rRNA
Rfam family: Bacterial small subunit ribosomal RNA
Source: RNAcentral
ACCUACGGGGGGCAGCAGUAGGGAAUCUUCCACAAUGGGCGAAAGCCUGAUGGAGCAACGCCGCGUGGGUGAAGAAGGUCUUCGGGUCGUAAAACCCUGUUGUUAGAGAAGAAAGUGCGUGAGAGUAACUGUUCACGUUUUGACGGUAUCUAACCAGAAAGCCACGGCUAACUACGUGCCAGCAGCCGCGGUAAUACGUAGGUGGCAAGCGUUAUCCGGAUUUAUUGGGCGUAAAGGGAACGCAGGCGGUCUUUUAAGUCUGAUGUGAAAGCCUUCGGCUUAACCGGAGUAGUGCAUUGGAAACU